UCCGGUUGAUCCUGCCAGAGGCCACUGCUAUCGGGGUUUGACUAAGCCAUGCGAGUCGAGAGGUUUCUGACCUCGGCGUACUGCUCAGUAACACGUGGACAAUCUGCCCUAAAGAGGAGGAUAAUCCCGGGAAACUGGGGGUAAUACUCCAUAGUUUGUGUUUACUGGAAUGUUACGCAAACGAAAGAUCCGUCGCUUUAGGAUGAGUCUGCGGCCGAUUAGGUAGUUGUUGGGGUAACGGCCCAACAAGCCUGUCAUCGGUACGGGUUGUGGGAGCAAGAGCCCGGAGAUGGAUUCUGAGACACGAAUCCAGGCCCUACGGGGCGCAGCGGGCGCGAAAACUUUACCAUGCGGGCAACCGUGAUAAGGAAACCCCGAGUGCCAGCACAGGCUGGCUGUCCACCAGUGUAAAUAACUGGUGAAGAAAGGGCCGGGCAAGACCGGUGCCAGCCGCCGCGGUAAUACCGGCGGCUCGAGUGGUGGCCACUAUUACUGGGCUUAAAGGGUCCGUAGCUUGAUAUGCAAGUCUUUUGAGAAAUCCGCCGGCUUAACUGGUGGGCGUUCAGGGGAAACUGCAUUUCUAGGGACCGGGAGAGGUGAGAGGUACUGCCGGGGUAGGAGUGAAAUCCUGUAAUCCCGGUGGGACCACCUAUGGCGAAGGCAUCUCACCAGAACGGGUCCGACAGUGAGGGACGAAAGCUGGGGGAGCAAACCGGAUUAGAUACCCGGGUAGUCCCAGCUGUAAACGAUGCGCGUUAGGUGUGUCAGUGACCACGUGUCACUGAGGUGCCGAAGGGAAACCGUGGAACGCGCCGCCUGGGGAGUACGGUCGCAAGGCUGAAACUUAA
This 848-nucleotide ribosomal RNA is filed under the name uncultured archaeon. Its description in RNAcentral is "bacterial SSU rRNA". It matches the Rfam family "Archaeal small subunit ribosomal RNA", at positions 1 to 859 of the family's 1478-position model. The record is from RNAcentral.